UUGACCUCGGAUCAGGUAGGGAUACCCGCUGAACUUAAGCAUAUCAAUAAGCGGAGGAAAAGAAACCAACAGGGAUUGCCUCAGUAACGGCGAGUGAAGCGGCAACAGCUCAAAUUUGAAAUCUGCCUCUAGGCCGAAUUGUAAUUUGUAGAAGAUGCUUCGGGUGUGGCUCCGGUCUAAGUUCCUUGGAACAGGACGUCAUAGAGGGUGAGAAUCCCGUACGUGACUGGUGGCCUCCGCCCGUGUGAAGCUCUUUCGACGAGUCGAGUUGUUUGGGAAUGCAGCUCAAAAUGGGUGGUAUAUUUCAUCUAAAGCUAAAUAUUGGCCAGAGACCGAUAGCGCACAAGUAGAGUGAUCGAAAGAUGAAAAGCACUUUGGAAAGAGAGUUAAACAGUACGUGAAAUUGUUGAAAGGGAAGCGCUUGCAACCAGACUUGCGCGCCGUCGAUCAUCCGAGGUUUUCCCCGGUGCACUCGGCGGUGCUCAGGCCAGCAUCGGUUUCGGUGGUUGGAUAAAGGCCUUGGGAAUGUGGCUCCUCCGGGAGUGUUAUAGCCCUCGGUGCAAUGCAGCCUACCGGGACCGAGGACCGCGCUUCG
Molecule: ribosomal RNA, 595 nt
Filed under: uncultured Leotiomycetes
Lineage: Eukaryota; Fungi; Ascomycota; Leotiomycetes
Description: eukaryotic LSU rRNA
Rfam family: Eukaryotic large subunit ribosomal RNA
Source: RNAcentral